RNAcentral lists this ribosomal RNA (253 nucleotides) under uncultured bacterium. RNAcentral's name for it is "partial 16S ribosomal RNA". It matches the Rfam family "Bacterial small subunit ribosomal RNA", at positions 524 to 776 of the family's 1533-position model. The record is from RNAcentral.
UACAGAGGGUGCGAGCGUUAAUCGGAAUUACUGGGCGUAAAGCGUGCGUAGACGGUUUUGUAAGUCGGAUGUGAAAUCCCCGGGCUCAACCUGGGAAUUGCAUUCGAAACUGCCAAGCUAGGGUACGGUAGAGGGAAGCGGAAUUUCCGGUGUAGCGGUGAAAUGCGUAGAUAUCGGAAGGAACAUCAGUGGCGAAAGCGGCUUCCUGGACCAGUACCGACGUUCAGGCACGAAAGCUAGGGGAGCGAAAGGG